GUCUCUUCGGGGAUGAUUAAACCGGCGCACGGGUGAGUAACACGUGAGUGACCUGCCUUUUAGACUGGAACAACUUACCGAAAGGUGAGCUAAUGCCGGAUGAGUUAUAUAAGUGCAUGUUUAUAUAGGAAAAGUUGGGGAGACCUGACGCUGAAAGAUGGACUCGCGUCCCAUUAGCUAGUUGGUAGGGUAAUGGCCUACCAAGGCGACGAUGGGUAGCCGGCCUGAGAGGGUGGCCGGCCACACUGGGACUGAGACACGGCCCAGACUCCUACGGGAGGCAGCAGUGGGGAAUUUUGCGCAAUGCUCGUAAGAGUGACGCAGCGACGCCGCGUGAAUGACGAAGGCCUUCGGGUCGUAAAGUUCUUUCGACAGGGAAGAAAAUGCCUAUAAGUAACUGUGUAUGUAUUGACGGUACCUGUAUAAGCAGCCCCGGCUAACUCCGUGCCAGCAGCCGCGGUAAUACGGAGGGGGCGAGCGUUGUUCGGAGUGACUGGGCGUAAAGAGCACGUAGGCGGUGUUGUAAGUCAUUAGUCAAAGACUAGAGCUCAACUUUAGUAAGGCUAGUGAUACUAUAAUACUAGAGUAUCAGAGAGGAUUGCAGAAUUCCUGGUGUAGCGGUGAAAUGCGUAGAUAUCAGGAGGAAUACCGUUAGCGAAGGCGGCAAUCUGGCUGGAAACUGACGCUGAGGUGCGAAAGCGUGGGUAGCAAACAGGAUUAGAUACCCU
RNAcentral lists this ribosomal RNA (728 nucleotides) under uncultured bacterium. Its description in RNAcentral is "bacterial SSU rRNA". It matches the Rfam family "Bacterial small subunit ribosomal RNA", at positions 74 to 788 of the family's 1533-position model. The record is from RNAcentral.